Molecule: ribosomal RNA, 303 nt
Filed under: Triticum aestivum (bread wheat)
Lineage: Eukaryota; Viridiplantae; Streptophyta; Magnoliopsida; Poales; Poaceae
Description: partial small subunit ribosomal RNA
Source: RNAcentral
GUUUUGUUCCGAAGCAAAGAUAUCCGCGAAGGCCGGUUCAUUCGUCCUAUUCUGAUAUUCAGGACCAAGAGGUACUGGAUUCUCUUUCGGAUAGACCCUGAAAGGAGAAGAAAGGCUGAAAUGCCAACGGACCUCUGUCUAUUCUCUAAUUCACCCGAUCCGAUAGUACCCGUUUUUGGAACGUCCAAUGCCAAAGUCACUGAAUGGGUAAGUCACCAAUCCAAUCCCGUUGACAAAUCGGAUGUCAUAUUAGAUAUCAUAUUCUAUAUAUAUAGAAAUAUCAUAGAUAGAAUAGACAUAUAG